Molecule: ribosomal RNA, 490 nt
Filed under: uncultured bacterium
Lineage: Bacteria
Description: partial 16S ribosomal RNA
Rfam family: Bacterial small subunit ribosomal RNA
Source: RNAcentral
GAUGAACGCUAGCUACAGGCUUAACACAUGCAAGUCGCAGGGUAACAUGAGGAAAGCUUGCUUUCCUUGAUGACGACUGGCGCACGGGUGAGUAACGCGUAUCCAACCUUCCCAUAACUACGGGAUAACCCGUUGAAAGACGGCCUAAUACCGUAUGAUAUCGUUUGCUGACAUCAAAUAACGAUUAAAGGUUUAGCGGUUAUGGAUGGGGAUGCGUCUGAUUAGCUUGUUGGCGGGGUAACGGCCCACCAAGGCGACGAUCAGUAGGGGUUCUGAGAGGAAGGUCCCCCACAUGGGAACUGAGACACGGGCCAAACUCCUACGGGAGGCAGCAGUGAGGAAUAGUGGUCAAUGGGCGAGAGCCUGAACCAGCCAAGUAGCGUGCAGGAUGACGGCCCUAUGGGUUGUAAACUGCUUUUAGGUGGGGAUAAAGUGCGUGACGUGUCAUGCAUUGCAGGUACCACAUGAAUAAGGACCGGCUAAUUCCGUG